This 339-nucleotide unclassified non-coding RNA is filed under the name soil metagenome. RNAcentral's name for it is "partial contains 5.8S ribosomal RNA, internal transcribed spacer 2, and large subunit ribosomal RNA". The stretch from base 1 to 120 matches the Rfam family "5.8S ribosomal RNA", at positions 35 to 154 of the family's 154-position model. The record is from RNAcentral.
GAUGAAGAACGCAGCGAAAUGCGAUAACCAAUGUGAAUUGCAGAAUUCAGUGAAUCAUCGAGUCUUUGAACGCACAUUGCGCCCCCUGGUAUUCCGGGGGGCAUGCCUGUCCGAGCGUCAUUGCUGCCCUCAAGCACGGCUUGUGUGUUGGGCUCCGUCCCCCCGGGGACGGGCCCGAAAGGCAGCGGCGGCACCGAGUCCGGUCCUCGAGCGUAUGGGGCUUUGUCACCCGCUCUGUAGGCCCGGCCGGCGCCAGCCGACAACCCAUCAUCCUUUUCAGGUUGACCUCGGAUCAGGUAGGGAUACCCGCUGAACUUAAGCAUAUCAAUAAGCGGAGGA